CCCGUUGGUCAAGCGGUUAAGACACCGCCCUUUCACGGCGGUAACACGGGUUCGAGUCCCGUACGGGUCA
RNAcentral lists this transfer RNA (70 nucleotides) under Enterococcus sp. RNAcentral's name for it is "tRNA-Glu". It matches the Rfam family "tRNA". From Rfam's summary of the family: Transfer RNA (tRNA) molecules are approximately 80 nucleotides in length. Their secondary structure includes four short double-helical elements and three loops (D, anti-codon, and T loops). Lineage: Bacteria; Bacillati; Bacillota; Bacilli; Lactobacillales; Enterococcaceae. RNAcentral also lists the same sequence under 1 other name. The record is from RNAcentral.